UGCCCAAAGCAAAGCUUAAGACCCA
Molecule: unclassified non-coding RNA, 25 nt
Filed under: Mus musculus (house mouse)
Lineage: Eukaryota; Metazoa; Chordata; Mammalia; Rodentia; Muridae
Description: oocyte_clustered_small_RNA10553
Source: RNAcentral